RNAcentral lists this ribosomal RNA (239 nucleotides) under uncultured bacterium. Its description in RNAcentral is "partial 16S ribosomal RNA". It matches the Rfam family "Bacterial small subunit ribosomal RNA", at positions 57 to 305 of the family's 1533-position model. The record is from RNAcentral.
GCAAGUCGAACGGUGGUAGCAAUACCAUAGUGGCGCACGGGUGCGUAACACGUAACUAACCUACCUAUAACUGGGGGAUAGCCCGCCGAAAGGCGGAUUAAUACCGCAUAAGCUCUUUAGCUGGCAUCAGCUGAUUAGUAAAGAUUUAUUGGUUAUAGAUGGGGUUGCGGGUCAUUAGCUAGUUGGUAGGGUAACGGCUUACCAAGGCGACGAUGACUAGGGGAGCUGAGAGGCUGGUC